ACGAACGCUGGCGGCGUGCUUAACACCUGCCAGUCGAACGGAAAGGCCCUGCUUUUGUGGGGUGCUCGAGUGGCGAACGGGUGAGUAACACGUGAGUAACCUGCCCUUGACUUUGGGAUAACUUCAGGAAACUGGGGCUAAUACCGGAUAGGAGCUCCUGCUGCAUGGUGGGGGUUGGAAAGUUUCGGCGGUUGGGGAUGGACUCGCGGCUUAUCAGCUUGUUGGUGGGGUAGUGGCUUACCAAGGCUUUGACGGGUAGCCGGCCUGAGAGGGUGACCGGCCACAUUAGGACUGAGAUACGGAGCAGACUCCUACGGGAGGCAGCAGUGGAGAAUAUUGCAGAAUGAGCGGAAGCCUGAUGCAGCAACGCCGCGUGCGGGAUGACGGCCUUCGGGUUGUAAACCGCUUUCGCAUGUGACGAAGAGUGAGUGACGGUAAUGGGUAAAGAAGCACCGGCUAACUACGUG
This 467-nucleotide ribosomal RNA is filed under the name uncultured bacterium. RNAcentral describes it as "partial 16S ribosomal RNA". It matches the Rfam family "Bacterial small subunit ribosomal RNA", at positions 29 to 507 of the family's 1533-position model. The record is from RNAcentral.